AAAAUUCUUUUCCUUUGUCAUCAGACUGAGACAUUGGCAAGGUAAUACACACCACGAAAGAUUUUAAAAGGUAACCGUUAAACUAAUACUGUCUGAAAAGCACAUUAGAUUAGUAGACAAGUCAUUAGUUAUUUUUCAUGGGUAUGAUUUGGUACUAAAAUGCUGUUAAAUGUGUGGGAUUAGAGCCAAGCAGCAGAACAGAACAAGUGCAUACAGUAAUAAAAUACAAGAGAUGGAUAAAUUGAGUCACGGUGUUAUUAUAAGACACAAUCCAUUUGAUUUUCCUCAUUUAUCUUGGUAUAGUUAUAUUUUACUUGUGCUUGAAGUUGCACCACCAGUUACUGCAUACCUUUAAUACCUUACCUGUCUGGUGUAGCUGCAAUUCUACACCCAUUGCUUCUACGCGCAAUGUAUGGUUUAGGACUGACUUGCAGUCAAGACUUGCAUUCAGCUAGUGCAGCUGUUGAGAAUUGAGUCCAGAAUUAUUAUUAUUAUUAUUAUUAUUAUUAUUAUUAUUAUUAUUAUUAUGAAAUAAUCAUUGAUCUGUUUGGUUAUUUGCAUGAUUUGGUAAAUAUACGCUGACAGAAUGACUACCAAAACGCUGUUGUGAAUGCAAAUCAACCACAAAGAAAGUAGUAAGAAUAUGAAUAAAGAUCAGACGCUCGUAUCUAUUUUGUACAGUGGUGAGAAAAUCUCUAAAUGAGGUUUGAUUCCUGGCGGAAAUAUGUUGAUUGCUUUGUAUAAUACUUUGUCAGUGUUGCUGUAAACAGCUUGGGCACAUGGUUGUCGUUUUUUUCUUUUUGCCUAUUGAGUCCUUUUGUAUGUCAUUUACUGCGUCACUCUUGCUGUCGUUUGUUAACACGACACUAUGCCUAUUGUCUGGUUGUGCCGCUCUUCCUGUAGUCUUAUGUGCUGUCUAAAUUUACAAGCUUUCUUUGACUUGCUGGGACUGACAGAUGCUCAUUGAUUUCACUAUAAACUGGUCUAAAUAUUUUCAAAAGCCAAGUCGGGUGUUGGUGUUGUUUAGAGUCAUUUUUAUGGAUGAGGCAAACGAAUGCACGGCUUUUACUUUGUCCGUUCGUCCUGUUUGUACCGUUUUGUAAAGACUUAGUCAGCGAAGCAGGCAAGAGGACGAAUGAGGAGAUAAAUAAAGAACAGGAUUAAUGUAACCGCCAGAUGAAAGGACACAUCUAACCAAGAUAGUUUGAAAAUGACUAACCAGAUACACAUCCAGGAUAAAUCCGUAGCCUGAGAGAACCAGCGGGAAAAGAGGAGGAAAAUAAACCCUUCUUCGAAUUUGUGUAUAAUAUGAUAUGCGAGAAAAUAAGGACUAUGGAUGCACAGUAAUCUCCACCCCGGGAAUUCAUAUAUUAUUUUAUUUCCUUUAGUUUCUGUUAAUGUCUGGAAUAUUUUGAACCCAGUCAGUGUUCAGGCAACUAUAAUAUUUGAGUGUCUGGGCAAGUACAGUGGACCUUCCAGGAAAUGGCUAGCUAGUAAAUGUGUAUCAUUUGUCCACUCCUGUGCAUCAGUAUUGUACAAUGCAGUCAACAUGUUUUUGGGAGUAAUCGGACCUCAGACCUUUCCCAUGAAAGAGGGGAAGGUGUCACUUUGAUCGCAGAAUCUUUCAGUGAUGAUGAUGAAGACCACCUUAAAUGUUAAAACGCACACGAACAAAUUACAUAUUAACCACAUACUCUGUGGGAAGCCGAGGGAAGCGUUUCAACAUGACCACAUGCAAUUUCAAAUGUGUUCUUAUGUAAAAAGGAUGCUCUUAGCAUGCGAGAUAAUGUGUUAUCCAAUACGAGAAUUCAAACUGGAAAAAAAAAUAAUAAAAAAAAACGUAUCACAUGCACGUAAGGCAGAUCAACUGUGAUUGGUCACCUGCAUCAGAAGUAUGUGCUUUGGCUGAUCGCUUCAUGUUGUCGUUUUUCUCUGUGUCAAACCAAUGAAGCCGAGCCUUUCCUGAGAAGCCAAACCUUUUCUUUUCUUUCUUUCUUUUUUUUUUUUUUAAAGAAAAGUGCAUGUUUAUGUGAAUCGGCUACCUCUGAGGGCUCGUGUCAUGAAAGCACUUUAUCACUGCUGAAGAUGUAUCUUUGAGCUACCAGCCUUUGAGCUGUACAUCAUUUUAAUUUUGUUUGUAGGGUUGUUUUCAGGUAGCCUUGUCACCAGCAGAAUACUGAUUUGAGUGUAUCACACCACUCAGUGUUGCUGUUUUACCUGCUUGUUUUGUCUAGGCAGAGUGAGGACUUUGUGUAUACAGAGAAACAAUGCGGUGUUGUUAAAACGUCUGGGGCGAGUGAGUGUGUGUAUGUGUGGCGGGCUGUUUGAUGUUUCAAGUGUACAUGUACACCUUAAAAAGAGACAGAGAGAACCAUAACAACAGAGCAUCUGACUUUUCCCGACGUAUCUGAUGCUCCGCAGGUGACAACGCUGACGACAAUGAUGCUUGUUUUAGUUAGUUAGGUUUUUUUUUUUUUUUUUAAACUUCUUGUGCGGCUUCACAUUUCUGUACUUUAAAAAUUCUACAUGUUGGACUUUGUAAUGUGAUGAACUCCGCAUUUUAGUUAUUUUAUUUUCUGGAAUUGCACAAAAUGUCAAUUCUGUCACUGUUGAAAUAUGAAUAUUGUCUUGUACCGUAGCUAGUACCUAAAGAAGAAAACAAAACGUAGCAUCGAAGCAAUAAUUUCCCUGUUGUUUAUCUGCGUCUCUUCUCCUAUAGGUGUUUCUUUGAUGAAUUGUAUCCCUAACUGUCUAAUUGCUUAUGUUUGUGUAGGUAUUAUUGUCAAUUGUUUCACACAGAUAUAUAUAUAUAUAUAUAUAUAAACAAUAAUUCCUAAAACAUUUUUGUUGUUUUUGUUUCUUUAUUUUAUUUGUUUCUUUAUUGUCCUUUUGUGUCUUUAACAUCUUGUCC
Molecule: long non-coding RNA, 2911 nt
Organism: Ictalurus punctatus (channel catfish)
Lineage: Eukaryota; Metazoa; Chordata; Actinopteri; Siluriformes; Ictaluridae
Source: Ensembl